RNAcentral lists this ribosomal RNA (404 nucleotides) under uncultured bacterium. Its description in RNAcentral is "partial 16S ribosomal RNA". It matches the Rfam family "Bacterial small subunit ribosomal RNA", at positions 28 to 526 of the family's 1533-position model. The record is from RNAcentral.
GAUGAACGCUGACAGCAUGCUUAACACAUGCAAGUCAACUGUGGCGGACGGGUGAGUAACGCGUCAAGAACUUGCCUCAGAGAUAGGGACAACAUUUGGCAACGAAUGCUAAUACCUGAUACUGUGAGAUAGCUUUGCGUCCAAUUAGCUAGUUGGAGAGGUAACGGCUCACCAAGGCGAGGAUGGUUAGCCGGCCUGAGACGGUGAUAGGCCACAAGGGGACUGAGAUACGGCCCUUAUGCGUACUGGAGGCAUGAGUGGGGAAUAGUGGACAAUGGACCAAAGACUGAUCCAGCAAUUCGGUGUGCAAUAUGAAGUUUUGGGAAGGUAAAGUGCUUUCAGUUGGGAAGCAGUACCAACAGAAGAAGUGACGGCUAAAUACGUGCCAGCAGCCGCGGUAAUUC